RNAcentral lists this ribosomal RNA (453 nucleotides) under uncultured bacterium. RNAcentral's name for it is "bacterial SSU rRNA". It matches the Rfam family "Bacterial small subunit ribosomal RNA", at positions 355 to 799 of the family's 1533-position model. The record is from RNAcentral.
UGGGGAAUUGUUCACAAUGGGCGCAAGCCUGAUGACGCAACGCCGCGUGGGGGAUGAAGGUCUUCGGAUUGUAAACCCCUGUCGAAUGGGACGAAAGACUCGCGAGUUAAUACUUCGCGGGAGUGACGGUACCGUUAAAGGAAGCCACGGCUAACUCUGUGCCAGCAGCCGCGGUAAUACAGAGGUGGCAAGCGUUGUUCGGAAUUACUGGGCGUAAAGGGCGCGUAGGCGGCCUACUAAGUCAGACGUGAAAUCCCCCGGCUUAACCUGGGAAUUGCAUUUGAGACUGCACGGCUAGAGUGUGUCAGAGGGGGGUAGAAUUCCACGUGUAGCAGUGAAAUGCGUAGAUAUGUGGAGGAAUACCGAUGGCGAAGGCAGCCCCCUGGGAUAACACUGACGCUCAUGCACGAAAGCGUGGGGAGCAAACAGGAUUAGAUACCCCCGUAGUCCCUG